AGCAAGGACUCCCAGGAGUCUGCAAGUUCCCAUGAAGCACAAGCUACUCUGAAGCACCAAGCCUUUAAGUUCACAACACAACUGUGAGUGGUGUCCUGAGAGGAGCAUUCAAGCUUCAGGUGAAGGAAAGCCACAGAAGCAGAUGGGUGUGUAACAGCAGAGACCUUGCUCUCGCACAGAGGUCCUUGCAGAGUGGAAAGGAGCAGAAUGGGCUCCACCAAAGCAGCUUGAUCAGGCCCCUGCCCAGUGGAUGGGCCCAGAGCUGGAGGGAGAGGAUGGUGCUGCAGAGCCAGCUGGAAGGGGGAGUGUGUGGGCUGUGUGUGUGUGCAGGGAAAUGGGGAGCAACUGGCACGUGCAAAGAGUGAGGACAAGGAGGGAUUCCAGCUGUGUGACCCAACACAUCAGCUGUAGCCAUCAGGUAAGAAAAAAAAAAAAGUGAGAGGCUGAUGCUGCUGGUAGGAACUUCCCACACUGGGCAGGGGGAGGUUUAAUUAGUACCCCAGGAGCUCCCCAGGAGCAGUGGACUCUGUAUUUUCCAGCCAUCUUCUGUUGCUGGUCUAAGUUUGUUCCAUUGAUUUCCCAAGCCCAGAAGCAAAUUACUGUUCCUAUGUUCUAGGUGCCAGUUCUCUUCCUUUUGCUUUUAGCCUUUCUCCUCUCCAGUUUUUCCUCUCUGCUCUGAAUAGCUCUCAGUGCUGCAGUCCCACUUCCCUUUGCUGGCACAGGCACCAGGAGAAAAUGAGGUAGUGUUUGCAUAGCACUGAGGCACUGGGACUCAGGAGAUGUGAAAUGUGGAGCUGCUGCACCACCUUUGGUGACUCACACCACCUUUUGUGGUUCUGCUUUCCUUCCUGCCAGGCCAACCUUCCAGACUGUAACCUCUCUGGGGAAAGGACUUGCUUUUAUUGUGAGAUCUGUCUAAUAGGACCCAAUCUCAGGUAAGAGCUUCAGGCAUUCCCAUUAUAUGAAUGAGAACAAGAUUGUUGGUGUCUAUCAUUAACAUUCUUGUGGGAUUGUUGGAAAUGCUUUGGGAUAAACACCACCUGGAAUCCUUGUCUGGCUUAUGUGGUUUUUAAGCAGUGGAGGAGGCUGGUCCUGUUCACACGAGGGGGCAUGGACCAUCUGUCUCUUCUCUGACUGGGUGUUGGAAAGUCUUUCAGCCCAAAGAGGAGUUGCAGCACUUUGGUGAGAAGCAGGACACUGGAAAAAUUAUGGCCUUGCCAGUGGGGAAGAAGAAUGGAGACUCAGUUAUCAGUGUGUCUCAAGCAGUGGUCUCACCUACAAACAAAGACUACAUGACAACCACCAAAACAGAGAGAAAAAUACCAAA
Molecule: long non-coding RNA, 1327 nt
Organism: Apus apus (common swift)
Lineage: Eukaryota; Metazoa; Chordata; Aves; Apodiformes; Apodidae
Exons: 3
Source: RefSeq, a predicted model, not a curated record